Camellia sinensis is the source of this 121-nucleotide small nucleolar RNA. RefSeq annotates it as small nucleolar RNA snoR143. Lineage: Eukaryota; Viridiplantae; Streptophyta; Magnoliopsida; Ericales; Theaceae. The record is from RefSeq and is a predicted model, not a curated record.
UCCCAUGGCCAGCCACUGGGUAAUGAAAGCUGUUAAAUCAGCGGCUGCCAGACAACUCCAGAGAUGGAUCCACUGGUGGAUGGCUAAUGUGUUACUUGCCUACUGAUUCCAUCUCAUAUCU